GACGAACGCUGGCGGCGUGCUUAACACAUGCAAGUCGAACGGAAAGGCCCUGCUUUUGUGGGGUGCUCGAGUGGCGAACGGGUGAGUAACACGUGAGUAACCUGCCCUUGACUUUGGGAUAACUUCAGGAAACUGGGGCUAAUACCGGAUAGGAGCUCCUGCUGCAUGGUGGGGGUUGGAAAGUUUCGGCGGUUGGGGAUGGACUCGCGGCUUAUCAGCUUGUUGGUGGGGUAGUGGCUUACCAAGGCUUUGACGGGUAGCCGGCCUGAGAGGGUGACCGGCCACAUGGGGAGUGGGAAACGGCCCAGGGCGCAGAGGGAGGGAGAAGGGGGAAAAAUAGCAAAAAGGGCGGAAGCCGAAUGGGGGAACGCCGGGGGGGGGAAGGGGGCUUUGGGGUGGGAAACCGCUUUAGCCUGUGACGAAGCGUGAGGGGCGGAAAUGGGGAAAAAAACACCGGUUAACUACGU
RNAcentral lists this ribosomal RNA (467 nucleotides) under uncultured bacterium. RNAcentral's name for it is "partial 16S ribosomal RNA". It matches the Rfam family "Bacterial small subunit ribosomal RNA", at positions 28 to 506 of the family's 1533-position model. The record is from RNAcentral.